GAAUAUUGGACAAUGGGGGCAACCCUGAUCCAGCCAUGCCGCGUGUGUGAAGAAGGCUUUCGGGUUGUAAAGCACUUUCAGUGCGGAGGAAAACUCUGCGACUAAUACUCGUAGGGCUUGACGUUACUCACAGAAGAAGCACCGGCUAACUCCGUGCCAGCAGCCGCGGUAAUACGGAGGGUGCAAGCGUUAAUCGGAAUUACUGGGCGUAAAGCGCGCGUAGGUGGUUUGAUAAGCGAGAUGUGAAAGCCCCGGGCUUAACCUGGGAACGGCAUUUCGAACUGUCAGGCUAGAGUGUGGUAGAGGGUAGUGGAAUUUCCUGUGUAGCGGUGAAAUGCGUAGAUAUAGGAAGGAACACCAGUGGCGAAGGCGGCUACCUGGACCAACACUGACACUGAGGUGCGAAAGCGUGGGGAGCAAACAGG
Molecule: ribosomal RNA, 425 nt
Filed under: uncultured bacterium
Lineage: Bacteria
Description: bacterial SSU rRNA
Rfam family: Bacterial small subunit ribosomal RNA
Source: RNAcentral